CUGGGGCUGGCAGAGCCCUGGGCCGGCCGCUUGGUUACUCUGUUUCAUUCCGCAACCCGGUUUUGUAGGUUGUUGACCAAGCAGCCAGAAAACACUGCCCCCUCUCUCUGUUUGAGCGAGGUCAGAGACGUGGUGGGUUUUUUUUCCCUUCCUCCACUACGCCCCCCCCCCGCCCCCCUUUCUCCGAAUCGAGUUCUCAGGCAGCUGCGUACAAUGCUGGGAGCUAGCCAGCAGCAGAGACAGAUGGCAGAGUUAUUAGAUGUGCAUCGUACGAUUCCCUUCCUGCCACUCGCUUUUUAAUCAAAUUAAAACAAAAAAGAAAGAGAGGGAGAGAGAGAGAGGGGGAGUCAAUUAACCGCAUUUGUAUUCUGCUCAAUAAUGGACCCUGUUCCACUUUUACCCUAAGGCAGUUGAGUGGAAAUUUUAGAGAAGAAAAGGGGUGCCUAAAACAAAAAAC
RNAcentral lists this long non-coding RNA (457 nucleotides) under Mus musculus (house mouse). RNAcentral describes it as "long non-coding RNA chr18:69592602-69593059". The record is from RNAcentral. Lineage: Eukaryota; Metazoa; Chordata; Mammalia; Rodentia; Muridae.